CGAACGCUGGCGGCGUGCUUAACACAUGCAAGUCGAACGGAAAGGCCCUGCUUUUGUGGGGUGCUCGAGUGGCGAACGGGUGAGUAACACGUGAGUAACCUGCCCUUGACUUUGGGAUAACUUCAGGAAACUGGGGCUAAUACCGGAUAGGAGCUCCUGCUGCAUGGUGGAGGUUGGAAAGUUUCGGCGGUUGGGGAUGGACUCGCGGCUUAUCAGCUUGUUGGUGGGGUAGUGGCUUACCAAGGCUUUGACGGGUAGCCGGCCUGAGAGGGUGACCGGCCACAUUGGGACUGAGAUACGGCCCAGACUCCUACGGGAGGCAGCAGUGGGGAAUAUUGCACAAUGGGCGGAAGCCUGAUGCAGCAACGCCGCGUGCGGGAUGACGGCCUUCGGGUUGUAAACCGCUUUCGCCUGUGACGAAGCGUGAGUGACGGUAAUGGGUAAAGAAGCACCGGCUAACUACGUG
RNAcentral lists this ribosomal RNA (466 nucleotides) under uncultured bacterium. Its description in RNAcentral is "partial 16S ribosomal RNA". It matches the Rfam family "Bacterial small subunit ribosomal RNA", at positions 30 to 507 of the family's 1533-position model. The record is from RNAcentral.